GUUGAGAUGGCCGAGUUUUCUAAGGUGCUAGAUUAAGGUUUUGGUCCGAAGGGGCUUGGGUUCAAAUCCCACUCUCAACA
Transfer RNA from Ipomoea nil (Japanese morning glory), 80 nucleotides. It matches the Rfam family "tRNA". Rfam says of the family: Transfer RNA (tRNA) molecules are approximately 80 nucleotides in length. Their secondary structure includes four short double-helical elements and three loops (D, anti-codon, and T loops). The record is from Rfam. Lineage: Eukaryota; Viridiplantae; Streptophyta; Magnoliopsida; Solanales; Convolvulaceae.